Molecule: ribosomal RNA, 302 nt
Filed under: uncultured bacterium
Lineage: Bacteria
Description: partial 16S ribosomal RNA
Rfam family: Bacterial small subunit ribosomal RNA
Source: RNAcentral
GCAGUCGCCGCGGGAAUACGAAGGGUGCAAGCGCUAAUCGGAAUUACUGGGCGUAAAGCGUGCGUAGGCGGUGAGUUAAGUCUGCUGUGAAAUCCCCGGGCUCAACCUGGGAAUGGCAGUGGAUACUGGCUCGCUAGAGUGUGUCAGAGGAUGGUGGAAUUCCCGGUGUAGCGGAGAAAUGCGUAGAGAUCGGGAGGAACAUCAGUGGCGAAGGCGGCCAUCUGGGCCAAUACUGACGCUCAUGCACGAAAGCGUGGGGAGCAAACAGGAUUAGAUACCCCAGUAGUCCCUGUCUCUUAUAA